RNAcentral lists this ribosomal RNA (306 nucleotides) under Triticum aestivum (bread wheat). Its description in RNAcentral is "partial small subunit ribosomal RNA". Lineage: Eukaryota; Viridiplantae; Streptophyta; Magnoliopsida; Poales; Poaceae. The record is from RNAcentral.
AUGAGCCACUUGAGGAAGAAGAAGCUGAGGACGUUGAUGGGCAGAUUGAGCGCCUGUAUGAUGCCGGCCUUCAUCAUGAUGCGCAGCCCGACGAAGCUGAAUACGGUGCCGAGGACCACCGAGAUGGCCAUCGACCGCAGCGUCACCUGGCCCCAUGUCCCCGGCAGCGGCGGCUGGCUCUCGAAGACCCGCUCCACCGACGACGCCACGCUCACAUCUCCGAUAGUCGCGUCCAUGGGCGAGGGGCCGGAGCUCUGGCGACUUCGGUUGGGGGCUCUGGGUGUGGACGGAGGAGUGGUGGUGUGA